UGGCUGGAAGCAUGGGACUCAUUAAUCCACUUGUUCUUAAUCCACUCACUCCUCCGGGAUACAAUCCCUACACACAGUUUGCUCCGCUUAUAAAUCAGCAGACUGCACUUGUUGCUGCUUCCGCCCAGGGUGCCUACCUGGGUCAGAUGACCGGUAUAU
Molecule: long non-coding RNA, 159 nt
Organism: Eurytemora carolleeae
Lineage: Eukaryota; Metazoa; Arthropoda; Copepoda; Calanoida; Temoridae
Exons: 3
Source: RefSeq, a predicted model, not a curated record